AUGGGCGCUCCUUCGGGAGCCUCACAAGGAUCAGCGCCACUUGGCGCGCUCUCAGCCGCCCGCCACAUGUCGCACUCUGGGUGCUCCCUUCAUUUUUUUUCCGCAUGCAUUUUUGGCUUUUUAAACAUUUUAUUUGGGUUUUUUCGACGUUUCUGUUUUCCACCGAUGUUCCUUAGUUUUUGGAUAAAAAAAUUAGAAUUGCGUGAAAAAAGAUGUUUUUUUUCUUCAGUGAGAGUCACGGUUUUGCUUCCGAUAGAGCCACGGUUUUGCUUUGGCGAGAGUCACGGUCGUGCCUCUCGGAGACGAAAAAACGGGUUUUCUGAUUUUUUUUUUACAUUCCGCGAGAGGCAAGGUUUGCUUCCGCUAGAGGCACGGUUGUGCUUUCGCGGUCGAAAUCGAAAAAAAUGUGUUUUCUGUUUUUUACCUUUAGCGAGAGGUCGAAAACGAAAAAAAAAUUGUAUCUCUAUUUUUCUUCCUUUCACGAGAGGCACAGUUUUGCUUCCGAGGCAUGGUUGUGCUUUCGUGAGAAGCACGGUCGUGCCUCUUCGAAAACGAAAAAAUUAUUUUUUUUGA
RNAcentral lists this ribosomal RNA (573 nucleotides) under Triticum aestivum (bread wheat). RNAcentral describes it as "partial small subunit ribosomal RNA". Lineage: Eukaryota; Viridiplantae; Streptophyta; Magnoliopsida; Poales; Poaceae. The record is from RNAcentral.